Molecule: long non-coding RNA, 18055 nt
Filed under: Manihot esculenta (cassava)
Lineage: Eukaryota; Viridiplantae; Streptophyta; Magnoliopsida; Malpighiales; Euphorbiaceae
Description: long non-coding RNA (MESC_LNC006896)
Source: RNAcentral
AGAAAAAGAAGGGAAAAGGAGAAAGAUCAACCAUUUAUUUAGACAAUGAGCAAUUGACACCGCAUCACAUAAUAAAAAGUUGAAAAGAAAAACCCAAAUAAAAUCAAAAGAGAUAUGUUGUAGUUUCAUACUUCUACAAUCACAUCAACAUCUCUACCUAUCUUUGAAUCCUGGUAACUAAUGCCUUAGUUAUCAAUAAGUUCAAUAAGUUCAAUAAGUCUUCUUCCAUCAAAUGGUGAAAAAAUAGCCUCUUGAAAAAAAGGAUAGCCUUCGACUACAAUACCCAAGCUACAUUGACAAAAUUAUAAAAAAGUUUGAGUAACACAUGAGGCAUUCAUAAAGAUACUGUUGAAAUACUUUCUGUAAAUAGCCUAGAUUUAUAGUGAUUGUGUGCAUAAUUAGAUGAUAUGAUUGAGACAUGAUUAGACUAUAAUUAAGAAAAUUAAUUUAUUUUCCUACCUAGUAUGUAUUCUUGUAAAUAGUAUAUAUACUCCAAUUGGCUUGAGAGGAAUCAUCAAGCAUCUUCCUUUUCCCUUUCUUUUUUCUUCACUGUUCCAUGCCAUGGCACCCAAGAAAUUUAGCCUAGCUGUGAGUGGCAGAUUUGCCAACUUCAUUUGGAGACUUUCUGGAAAUCAGUUGGUCUCACCACCUAGUCCACCAGUCUCAUUGGCUUCCAACCAGUGAUCCUGUGCAGCGCCGCCACCAAAAGCGCCUCCACGCGCCGGCAUGUUAACAACUCUCCGACAAUUUUUUCACGCCGGCGACUCUUCCUCCAGCAUCGCCAAAGAUCAGUGGCCCCAGACCACUAGGUCCGGUCACCUAACUAGCUCUUCUUCAAGCGUCCAUUGUGAAGAGUAGCUUCGAAUCUACCACUCACGGACACUGAUCCUUUUUUUGGAAGAUUCAAGUCUAUUCUAGUCCCUUGUUUCAGAAUCUCUGUCAACAUGUCUGAAAAGCAGGAUGCCGUCUAUACAGAUUCUGAGUCCUUUUUCAAUUGCUACUGUGAAGUUGCAAGGAAGUAAUAAUUAUGAGUCUUGAGCUACAUCAGUAGAAUUAUGGUUUUUAGGACAGGGGUAUGAUGAUCAUUUAACAAAAAAUGCUAUUGAUAUCACUGCCACGAAUAGUACCAACUGGAUUAAGAUUGAUGAUAAAUUAUGUGGUCUUCUAUGGCAUUCAUUAGACCCGAAAUUGCAUGUUUUAUUUCAGUCUUGCAAAACUUGUUAUAAAGUUUAGACUAAAGCCAAAACGUUAUACAAUAAUGACGUAUAAUGGAUUUAUAAGGUUGUGUCAGAUAUAAUCCACUUACAACAGAAUCAUUGUACAUGGCUAGUUAACCAUAUGUCUUCCUCUAUUUUGGAGCAUCAGAGUCCUCAUUCAGCUCUCUUUCCUAAGUAGACCUCUAAUCAAUUGUCUCUGCGAUUUUUUGGAUUUAUAUAUUUUGUUCAUGACCAUAUUCUGGUAAAGACAAACUCCUAGUAAAAUAAACUCCAGCCCAAAUCUGUUAAAUAUAUCUUCCAAAUCAGUUAAAUAUAUCUUUCUUCAAAAAAGUUACAAAUGUUAUGAUCCCACUACUAACAUAUAUUUUGUCUAUGCAAAUGUCACCUUUUUUUAAACCUCCCUUUACUUUUCUUCUAGUUCAAUAUACAAAACCUUUGUUCCUUACCAUUGUUUGCUUCCUUCAUAUUAUAAUUUUAUUUCCACUAUGUCUGCUGUUUCUAUACCCAAGACAAUUAGAGAAGCAUCGAAUCAUCCUAAUUCCAGCAGCCAAAAUAGCUUUUGUUCGUCUCCUUAUCUCAUUGGGACCCUUCAUAAACUGGACAUUAGAAAUGCCUUCAUGGUGAGCUCACCGGUCGUCUUCGACACUCUUUGUAUGGUCUAAUACAGUCUUCAAAAGCAUGGUUCAGACAAUUCUGUAGUUCAACAGUUUGAAAUGUCUCGAAGUAAAUCUGAUCAUUCCGUAUUUUUUUGUAAUAAUGGUGAUAGAUGCAUCUACUUGAUGGUCUAUAAUGUUGAUGAUAUUGUCAUUAUAGGAAAUGAUCAUGAUGAAAUCUCUCAGCUUAAGUAACAUUUAUUCAGUCAUUUUCAAAUUAGGGAAAUUGAAGUAUUUCUUAGGGAAAUUGAAGUAUUUCUUAGGGAUUGAAGUGGCAGUCUAAAGCAGAUAUUGCGAUUUACCUCAGAAUAUUGUAUUAUGAUUGAAGGGAAUCUUAUAUCCUAAAAAAGUAAAAAAAACAGGAUGUUGUUGCAAGAUCAAAUGCAACAUGCGAACUCAUUUGGUUAAAGCAACUUCAUCAUGAAUUAAAGUAUGGCAACACUGGCCAAAUGAAACUGAUAUGUGAUAAUCAAGCUACUCUCUAUAUUGCACCAAAUUCAGUUUCUCAUGAGAGGAAGAAGUAUAUAGAGAUAGAUUGUCAAUUUAUUAGGACAAAGGAUUGAGUCGGGAUGCAUUUCUACUAGUUUUGUCAACUCAAAUGAUCAGCUAGCUGAUGUUUUCAUAAAAUCUCUUCGAGGUUCAUGAAUCGAAUAUAUUUAUAACAAACUUGGAGCAUGUGACAUGUACGCUCCAACUUGAGGGGGAGUGUUAAGAUAUUAUCUGUAAAUAGUCUAGAUUUGUAGUGAUUAGAUUUGUAGUGAUUGUGUGCAUAGUCAGGUGCUUAGAUUAUGUAAUGUGAUUGGGAUAUGAUUAGGCUACAAUUAGGGAAUUAAUUUUCUUACCUAGUAUGUAUUCUUGUAAGUAGUAUACAUACCCAAUUGAGAGGAAUCAUCAAGCAUCUUUCUCCCAAAGUCAAAGUCUUUAUUUCCCUCUUUUUUCAUCAUUGUUUCAGAUAUUAUAGAAGAAUAGAGUUCUUGCUAGGCAGAAUGUACAAUGACCGAGUACAAUUCAUUUAGAAGUUACAAACUAAAUAAUCCGAGUCGAAACAAUCAUGAUAAUCUAUUGAAAAAAUUUGGUUACCUCCAUGUUUUUCAAUAUUGAUUCAUCAGAAAUAAUGCACAAUGCAAAGGUGAUCGAAGCACAAAAUUUCUCCAAGAUAGUGAUUGUAUGAGCAUGUUGAGAAAUCACUAACUUCAGCUGCAGCAUAUAAAUUUUUAUAGUUAGCAGCCUAAUAAACAAAAGUGGCCACAAAAUAUCGAAAGGGAAUUGGAGCAAACCUCAAUAUUUCCGAGUUCAAUAGCAAAGUAAUUAUAGAGAUCUUGAACUAGAAAAUCUCUCAAAAAGUUAAUGGUGAAUGCUGAGCUUGAAGAAUGAUUCAGCAUAUAAGAUUGUUCCUGAUUAGUUGGAGUAAUAGACUCCAAAUCAUAUUUGGAUUUACAAUGAAGGGAUCCCAUCUCCAUAACCUGCCCAAUGCAGCAGAUCAAACUAUGAUAGACAUAAAUAGACAAAAACAAAGCAACUUAAUGAUUCUCAUGACAAUAAAUUACAGAAAAAUGCUAGAAUACUGAGCAGAAAAUCUCAAAUGAAGAAGAAAAUAACAAAUGUUAAAUGAAUAAGUGUUGAGUUUAGAGGUUAAGCCUAGGAAGUAGCAAUAAAGAGGAUUUACUUUACUAGAGAAACAACUACCUGGAUCAGGAAGCAGAAAAAUAAAAAGAAAAAGAAGACGAAGAAAAGCACAACUAUGCCUUAAUCUCAAAUUAGUUGGAGUCGGGUAUAUGGAUCUUUUGUUGCUAUUAGCUCUAUUAGACACCGAGUCCACACUCCACAUCAAUAUUCAAGAAUUGUAAAUCCUUUGACUUUAAUUUAAUUCAACAUGAUGUACCACCAAACAUUCAAGAAAUUAAUUACCAAGUUACACUGUUCUGAAAUGGCAUUUCUCCCAGGAAUGAUAAUAAUGAGAUUCAAGAUGCUAAUAUCCCAACUGAGUUUUUUAUGACUUGAUAGUGCAUACCUGCAAAAAGUAAAUAAAAACAUAAAUGCAAAAUUAAAUGCAUGGGUGACAUCCAGCAAUUAGAAGGGGAUAUGACAUCAUUACGUGUACAAAAGUUCUAAUUUAUCAAAAGCAACUGACAGUUAAAUGAAGAACUCACUCAGCUUUUGAUAAUAAACGUGUCUUGACAUCUUUAAACCCAUUUAAAGACAAAAGGACCUGUAGCAGGAUCAAUAUUAAAGUAUCAACCAGAAUAUUACAUGCCACAUCAUCUUAAAAAUUUGAAAGCACUAUCAUUUAAAUGUUAGACAAGGUUGUCCACGAAAUAAAACAUGAUAUGAUGAAUAAAGAAGAGAGCAUAGCAGUGAUUUCAGACAUCGUUCUUGCUCCUCAGGUGAAAUGCUUAAAUAUGUUUUAACUAUGUAGACAUACAAUUGAAAUGGCAUUUCAAAUAUCACAAAAUGUACUUACCUUUUCAAUUGAAGCUACUUUUGAGUUGUCUAAUAGGAUCCUGUAAUUUCAUAAUUUGUGGCAAUGGUGGCCCAUACCCAAUUUCACAUGGCUACAAUUGCUACUUGUUAUAAAGUUGACAGACACCUAUUUAUAAGUUUAUGAGAAAUGGCCACAAUGGCACAAUCAAACAGAACAAGUAAAGUUUUAGAUUUCUGUCUUCCUUAAGGUCAAUUAUUUUGAUCUCCAUAUGCAUAUUCCUACAAAGUUUUAGAUAUUUAUGCAACUUGACUAUGAAGAUUCUUAAAUUUGAGUCAGGCCUAACUCACCCCAAAAGCUAGCUCAAGGAGGAGGAUUGCCUAUGGCCCAUAUAAGGGGCACAUUACCCCUUUCCACAACCGAUGUGGGAUUCAACAAAGAUGAUGGAUUUAUCACACAUCCUAAUCUUAUCAACUAAAUUUCAUCCGAUAAUUACUAUCUAAAUAUUCCUUUCAUGGAAAGUAACUCCUAAUCCUUUGACAAGUGAUUUCUAGAAUUAGUAAACCCUCAAAUGAUACAGGUGUAUGCUGCAUGGUGAUACCACACUGAUACUAAUUGAUUCUAGAAGCACUCAGAACUUUGUAUUUGUGACGGCAAUGUGUUUCUAGUUUUCUACGUUUAAAAUUUGUAUAAAAUAGAUCAUUAUAAACUUAAAUCUAUCGGAACACUUUAUGCAAAAUCACCUCAACGGCAUUGGCUAAGUGAACUAAUGAGCUUUGAGUCCUUUGCUGAAUUAAGAGCAAGCUGACAAAAAUAUAAUGCUCUGUCUCAUGAUGGGAAGACAAAAGCGUUUUCUAGGCAGUUUCAUUGGAGCAAUUUGUCAAGUGACUCAUCCUAAAUAGUUGGACCUGUAUUCCUCAAGCGUUUAGGAUUUUCCCAUUACCUGUCCUUGGAAACGAUUCCAUACUCAAGCACAUAAAACUAUAUUUUUUCAUUCUUACAUUCAGAUUAAUGGAUUAUCACAUGUAAAAAUCAGGUUCAAAUUUCUGAUAAUGCCUCAGAUUAAGAAAAAUAGCAAAAUUGACUAUACUUGUCAGUAAUUCUCAAGUGAAGGUAAUCUAUUUUGGAACCCCAAUGCACAAACAAUUGAAACCCUGUAAUUUGGUUUUGCUGUUAUUUUGUUUCUAUUAAUUCCUUGUAUCAUUUUGGUUAAAAUCCAAAAAAUUUUGGAAAAAUUUCAUCAUAUCAUGUGAAAUUCUCAACUGAAUGCCUGAAAUGACUGUCUGCUCUCCCCCAGGUACAUCAUGUAUAGAAACAAUUAAUGCUGAAGUAGCAGACAACAGCAAACACAACAGUGCAAACUGUGAUCGAACAGACAUUAGAACUCACCCUUUUGUUCUGAAAUUCAAAACAUUGUAGUACAGUGAAGAACUCCAGGAGUUUUAAAAGAAAUUCCACAUCACAAUUAACUUCAAGUGGUUGGAGCAUGACCUGCAUGCAGAAGAUAUGGACUGGAAAUUGCAAAGUGGAACUACUAAAAACUAGGACCAGGAAUAUGAAAAUACCUUUAUUGACAAUUCAACCUCUUGUUUUCGUGACUCAUCUACUUGGAUUCUACAAGAAGUUGGCUUAUCCUCUGGUUCUGUUAGAGACUGCAGGCAAGAAAAAAAGUCACAAUGACAUUUUUUACAUUGAUUGGAACAGAAGUAAUUAUUGAGGAAAAUGACAGGAUAUGCUGUUCAUCAGCCAACUCAAGAACUAGUAGUAGUCAAAGAACAUCUUCGGUGCAUCUUAACUUAGUCACAAACAUUAAACAGAGGAAUGAAGAGUUGCCCAAUUAGUGGAAGUUUUCAUGAUUUUGGAAGUCACAUACUUGUUUUCAGUUGUUGUUGUGGUUUGAGAGUCAAAACAACUUUAUGAGAAAAAAAAUCACCAAGUUAGAUGUUGUAAAAAGCUUGUUUGUUAUUUUAGUGCUUGUGACUAAAACUUCUUGAUGAAUUGAAAUAGCAGAUUUUUAGAGAGGGGAUAAGCUAGUUUGUUAAAUUUAAUUCUAGAAUUCCAGCAUUUGUCAAAUUUAAUUUUUAAUCAUGUUUAGUACUCUCCUACCAAGUACCAACAUAUUUAAAAAGUGCUUUUCUCAACAACAGCUCUUACAACAAGGCUAAACAGCGUGCAAGAUGGUUGGUCACUUUCUUUCCUAAAAAACUGAGUCAUGUAAAAUAUUGCAUCCUAAAACCAUUACUUUCCAGAAAACUUCAGAAGGAAAAAUGACUACUCAUACACUUGUAACAUAUAUAGCUCAUGUAUAAGAAUACAAACCCUUCCUAUUUGUAGGAUAACCAUCUCAUCACGUGGAUAAACCAUUUUUCCCGACUUAAUGGAGCAAAAUACUGAAGCUAACUCUUCCUGAAGUUUGCACUCCACGACUGCAUCUUUAAUAAUCAAGUCAGCAAUUCUUUCACUGGAAUACCUGUAAAAGCGGUUGUUAAUAGUUACCAAGAAAUAAGCAAGAAAAUCACAAAGUUGUUCAGUAGAUAACUGAAUAAUAUAAUAGCAAACUACCAGCAUAAAUUGCAUUGACAAUAAAAAUUAGCAAUAGUAUCUAUCAGCAACCAUAAAUAUUGACAUAAGAACAGAGUUUUGGUUGGUCAAAUCCACAAUUCUUUAUCCAAAAGAAUAUGUUAUUAUCAAAUGUUCUUCAAAAUGAAGAAUUCUGUAGGCACUUGAAAUGGAGUAUUCAUAACAAAGUCCCAUUGUGACUAUAUAGUCUAUCUUUCAUUCUUUCUAGUGAUGAAAAGCUCUAGUAAAUGGGACAGGGCAUCCCACACACUUUGGGGGAUAGACUAAUUAUUUGACCCUUAAUUAUACCUGCAAGCAAGCCAAGUUGAGAUCAGUGUUGUUAAAGGCGACCUGUGGUCGAGGCAUCGCCUGGCGCCACAUCCUUUUUUUUUUUUUUUUUUUUUAAUUUUAAAGGAUGUUAAAAUUAAAACCCAAAACCCUUCUUCUGUCCCUAUACCUUCUUCUGCCUUCUCCAAACAGCAGCCAGUCAACACACAGCCUUCUCCAAACAGCAGCCAUCAUCCCACACCAGUCCACAGUUAUGUGUCUCGUCUCAUCUCCUCUUUCUUCUUCUUGCUUCUCCACCCUUCUUCUCCCGAUCUCCUUCUUCUUCUCCGCCCUUCUUCUCCCAAUCUCCUCCCUUCCUUCCCACUCAUUAUUCUCUUCUCCACAUCAUUGUCUCCACUCUCCAGCCAAUCUCUAAUAAGAAUGGGAGUUGUUGUGAAUCUUGUUGUUUAUUUAAAAGUGAAUUACAAUGGGUGUUGUUGAUCUAUGAUUUGUUGUUCAUUUAUUUGUGAGAAUUUUUGUUUAUUUAUUAAGGGCAACACUAAAUGGGUCAUGGGUGUUAUUGAUUUUAAAUUGUUGCUUAUUCAUAAUUUAUUUUGGUGGUGUGACAGUGAUACUAGUCUAGUAGUAUACCUAAUGCCUUGUUAGUUAUUUAAUUUGAUUAGAUGAUAUAAUAUUAUAAUUGAUUUUAUAUUUUUGGUACUUGCUAUUACAUUGGAUUGUUCAGUUUAACUUGUUUUUUGACAUAUUUAUUAAUGCUUUAUUUUAUAUUUGAAAUCUUGACGAAUAUUAAGUAAUAGACUAGGCUAGUAGUUCUAUUCAAUAGUCUUAUUUUAUAUUUUAUUAACAAUACUUUAUUAUAUAUUUUAUAUUAUUCUAAAUAUGAAUGUUAAUUUGUGUACAUUAUAUUUAUAUAUCUAAAAUAUAUAAAAUUUUUAGCUUCUGUUGCCUUUUUCAAAGGCAUCACCUCACCUCUCACCUAAGGCUAUAGAGACCUCGUCGCCUUAGUGUUGAGGUGAUAAUGCUGGUUGAGAUUUGUGAAGCAUAGGCUUAGUUUAUUUAUACACAAGCUUCAAAUUUAGGCUUCCGCUGGCUUGUUUGUUAAAUGAGAUGAGCCACGUAUACAUCUUGUCCAUAUAAAUCUGAUAACCUAAAUGACUAAAAGUCUUUCAUUUAUUAACAUUCCAUGUCACCAACAAAGAUGAGCCAAACUUUACUUUAACUCAGACUUGGUUCAUUUAUUGAAUGGACCUUAAAAUGAAUCCAUGAGCUUGGCUCAUUAACUGUAACAAAAUGGCUCAAGUGAGUUUUAAUUGACCCAUGCUUCAAGCAACUCAUUAGUGGCUUCGCUAACAUCAACUAAUUAUAUGGAAAAAAAAAAUUCUGUUACAGUCAUCAUUAAAAGCCUACAUAAGAAAGAAGAGUACUGUAUAAUAAUAAUAUAAUUAGAUUCCAAGAAUUCCAAGGAAUUUGGAUCAUUUGAGAACAAGCAAGUUACGAGAAGCAAUUAAUUUUGAUCCGCAGCAUAUAGAGGAUAAGCAAUCAUACUUGCUUUGCAGAGUUGCAGCAAUUUGACCCAUGCUUAACUUGACUGCACAUGUAAACAUCUUAACACUUGCAUUGGCAUCCCCACCACAUGAUACUGACGGAUGGAACUCUGUAGCUUCAUAAAUAUCCUGCAGAAAAUAUGACAAGUUAGAUUAUCUAAGGCUAAAAUGAAAAUGUUGUUUUUUCACUCAUGCAAUGAGACUUAACAAUCAACAAUCGUGCACAUCUACCUUUACAACGUCAUCAGAGACAACACCAGAAAAUUGACUAGAAUCAUCCGUUCCACCAGCACCAAGCAUGCCUCGGGACAGCCAAUUCAACCAUCCUCUGGACCUGCCUGAGGUAUGUUCAUCAUUUUGUGACUUCUCAACAGAAAUAUUGGCACCAUCCACUCCCAUAUUUGAAGAUGACGAGCUUGACAAAACAUCCUGACGGCAAAGCAAAUGCCCAAACCAUGUCACCAGAAUGUCACUAGUGAAACAUGUAUGAAGUCACAACUUGUAAGAAGACAUAGACUCUCAUAAAAAAUUGGGAACCAAAUCUGAAAAUAUCCAAAAUUCUUGAACAUUAAAAACUCAACCAAACAAGUUUAGUCAUAACAACAUAGUAAAGUGAAUUUUGCAGUAUAUUUAAACUAAAAUAUACCUGCAGCUCAUGUUCAGCAGCAGACCUAUAGCUCAAGAUAUCAUCUAAAUCCGAUUCUUUCUCCAUUAGCUCCAAUUCCCGAAGAAUAUAUUCAUCAAUUGACUGAUAAUGCCAAAUUAAAAAAAAAAAAACCAAAACAGGUCAGCAAAUAGCAAUUUUCUUUUCCAUGAACUUUAACUAAGCUUCAAAUACUCCUCGUCUUUAACGAGAUUUUACACAGAAGGACAAAAACACAAAUAAGACUAAAAUUUGCUGUUAUGAAAAGGAAAGAACGAAGUUACCUGUUCUUGUUGAAGAAAAUCUAGUUUAAUCUUGUACAAAUUGAUAUACUUCCGACGAGAAUCCCUGUGAUUAGGGUUUAGGUUUAAGCAAUAUAAGAAUUUGACAAGUUAAAACAUUUGCUUCACUGGGCCAAAAUGCGAACAACCAAAACUAACUAGAUUAGUGAAAAAGAAAUAGAACUACAUGAGCAUACAUGUGCACAGAAAUUUGUAACCAUUUCAAUAUUUAAGAUUCAAAAACUAAUAAAUGGGAGAACAGGAUUGGGACGAACAAGAAGCUCCAGAAAAGCAAGUCCAAAGACUUGAGAUAUUUAAAGCAUUCUAUGUCUGUUUUGCUUAUCAAAUUGCUUUACAGGCAGAAUGAACAGGAGCUCCUGCUCAAAGCCAUCCACUGCUCCCAAAGUAGAACCAUCUUCUUCGCCAGACAUGCUUUUCCAACAGUGAGCAUAAUUUUUAAGAAAUUUUGGAUAUCCAACUUCUUCCAUCAAGCCCUAGUAAAACAACAUGAAUUCCUUGAGAAUAUCCCAAAAACAUUGUUCAAGGGUACAGGUGACAGUGCCAAACCUGUAACGGUAACAGCCCCCAAUACCUGUACUUUCUUGAGUUAUUUUGCUUUCUAAUAACAUUCAACUUGCAAAAUCUAGUUGUUCGUGUCAACUCCCGCUAGUUCUACACACCAAUGAUAAAACAGUGUAAUCCAAAAGAUGUCCUACAUUACGACAAUUGGAUAAAACUGCUUAGAUCCUUUGUCAUCUGACCAAGACAUAUUGUUUCCCACUUUCCUAAAUAUUGAUACAACACAAGAUGCAGUGCUUGGCAGGGUUAUCAUUCAGAAAUCUUUCACUACAGAAUCCAACUAAAAUGGUUUGCUCAUGGAUUGACAUGAAUUCAGAAGUAAAAUAUCCCUCAUAGAAGUUGAAAAUGUGGCAAAUCAAAUUAAAAUGUCCCACUGUUAGGAGUCAUCAAGGAGGAUUGUUUUAUCCAUUGUCGAAUCCACAUCGGGAAUAGGGGUUAUGUACCGUUAUAAGGGUUUUGGACACUCUUCUCCCUUGAGCUAGCUUUUGCAAGGAGUUAGGCCUGACUCACAUCUAACAUAAUGCUCUCCAUCCGAUGUUAAGUCUCCUUAAGUAUUUCACACUCUAGUUUAUUCUUGGACGUGAGGACGUUUAUUCUUGGACGUGAGGGGUGUAUUAAAUCCCACAUCAGUUGCAAUAAAAGUUAUGUGCCCUUGUAAAGAUCUUGGGCACUCCUCCCCUUGGGCUAGCUUUUGCGAUCUAAAUAAAAUCCUCCUCAUCCGAUGUUGAGCCUCAUUAAGUACUUCACGUUCCGGUUUAUUUCUGGGCGUGAGGGAGGCGUGUUAACAACCAUCUGAUUCCUCACAAGAGGAACCACCUUAUUUCUCCAGUCAUUACUGCCUUUAUAUAAAGGUAAUCAUUACUGACUGUUAUGUAAGGUUCAUAACAGUCGUUGCUUUUUCUUUUACUUUGUUUUUAGCCGACAAUCUUUUUUUUUUUUUUUUUUUGCUGCAUUCAUGUGAAGAGCAGCAGAAGAAAGCUUUUUUGGGCUAGAAGGCUAACUUGCCUUAUUAAUUCAGGAUGUCUUCAUUUUCUUUCUAGGCAUUUUGCCAUUUGCUCUCAAUAUUCACCUCUGAAAAUUUAGAAUUAUAAAAAGAAAGAGAGAAGAACAAGAUUAAGUUUUACAUGGUUUAGCUAUGCAGAGCCUACAUCCACAAACUCAAACCCCCAAAAGGACUGCAUUUUAUUCACUUGUGCUUUUUUCAUUGCACAUAGAACUCCAUGUUUAUAGUGGGGAUACAUAACAUAGAUUGAAUGCUAUCAAUAAUAAAUCCCUCCUAAGAUUACAUAAUUUUCUCAUAGUCAUGAGAUUUCCAUAAAUCACUCUUAAUAUUCUUCAUUAAGAAUAAAUCUCAUUAAUUUUCACAUACCCCCUUAAUGAGAUUUUGCAAAAGUUGUAAAUUUAAUAUCAAGCACUCUCGCUUCUUCUUCUUCCACCUUUUUUCUUCCAGUACGACUCUUUUUUCUUCUUUUAUUACCUUUUUAUUUUCUUUUGGAGUUCCUUUGUCCUUGGAUUCUUCCUAAAGAGGAUUGGAGGGUCUUGGACCCUAAAUUUGCAAACCCAGGUUGUGUUCUUGAAAGCUUUUGGGAUUUCAAACCCAAAAGGAGAAGAGAAGGAAAGAAAGAUGGACACAUAGGGUAGGGACUUCAGACCCUGGCUCUACUAAAUUGUAGAAUAGAGUCAGGAUUUCAACCCUUGGCUCUAAUGAAGAAGUAGAAUAUCAUAGACUUCAAACCAGAUUCUGAUAUCAAAUGCUAUCAAUAAUAAAUCACUCCUAAGAUUAUGGUAAUCAAUCUCAUGAUCUUCUCACAGUCAUGAGAUUCUCAUAAAUCACUCCUAAUAUUGUUCACUAAGGAAAAAAUUAAUCUUAACGUCCACAGUGAAAUGUAAUCCUUCAUUUUCCUACAAAUUUUUGAGCUCAAGACCGUAUAUUAUCAAAUAGACAAGGUAGUUUUGAAGUGAAGUAGAGCAAAGGGUGAGCUAUUGUUAUUUUUUCUAAGUUCUACAUAUUUUUCAAAUCACUUUUAGGUAAAGGCAUAAAUAAUUAGCAAAUAAUAUAGAGAAAGUUUUAGGGUUUAAAAAUGUUUGCUAAAUAUAAAUUUAGGCGUUCACAAGAUAAGAUUUGAGGAAAAAAAUCACCAAAUUAACUUUUGAAAUUAAUUUUCAUAAAUUAAAUAGUAUAUUUAAAACCUAAUUUUAAAUGACAAUCAAGAUGCCAUAUAAAUCUUCUAUCAUCCAUUAUAAUAUAAAACUUAUUUAUUAUAUAAAUAGAGAAUAAAUAUAACUCUUUGAGGUUUUGUGUCCACAUAUGUAGGCUCUCUAUAGCCAACCAUGUAGAUCCUUCCCUUGUUAUUUUCUCCCAUCUUUUAUGUCAUUCUAAAUAUCUACAUCAUAUCAAUGCAUCACCAACCACAUGGGCCGCCAAUAAGCAUUUCAUACCCUAGGUGUUCAAUCCUAGCAUCAUGGGUGCGGGUAAUACUUAAUACCCAUAUUAGUUUGUGAUAAGAGUAAUGUACCUCUUAUUAAAAUGGUGAUAAAGCCUAUGGUUUGAGUCCCAGAGCCACUCUUCUCCCAUUUCCACCUCCUUUCAUUUUAGCCGAGGAUUGAAGUCCCCAAACUAAUUUUCUCCUCUACUCUCCUCCUCCAUUUUAGCAUUGGGUUUGAGUUCCAAAGCUAUGCUUCUCCCAUAUUGUCCUUCAUUUAAGCCUGGCGUUUGCAUCCCAUAUCUUUUACUUUUCCUCUUAUAUUUUCCUUCUGGAUUUUAGCAUGGGGUCUGAGUCUUGAAACUACUUUCUCCAAAAUUCCUCCUCUUCUACGUGGAAUUUAAGUUUGAAAAAGAAGUUCAAAGAAAAGAAAAGAAAAGAAAAAGGAAAAAGCUAGAUGAUGGAUAAUAACUAAAGCAAAAAUCUCAUCAAGGGAUAGUUCCAAAGUUGAUGAGAUUUCCCUUAGUUUAUGAGAUAUGAAUCAUAUGAGUACGUGAAAAUCUCACAAUUGAUUAGCAAAAUCAUUGGCUUAAUCAAUUGACUUGAUUACUACUUGUAUCUUCAAUUAUAACUAUGAAAUCUUAUGUGUUAUUUAAAUGACGCAAGUGAAUAAAAUCUAACGUUUUGAGGCUUUAUGCCCAUAGAUGUAAGCUCUCCAUAGGUGAACUACGUAAAUUCUUCUCAUGUUAUUUUCUCCAUAUUUUCUAUCAUUCUGAAUUUCUUCAUCAUAAAACAUUUAACAUGGUAUAAUAUGGAUGAAAGAUUGAGCACACCUAGGGAACAGAUAAACACAACUACAGAGUUGUGACAAGAAGCCAUCGAACAUUAAAACCACAUUAAAAUUAGAGUUUCCACUAUCAUAAAAUUUCCCAAGGUAAUAAUUAGUCAUGCUCUAACAUUAAACCCUUUCAAAAACUUGUGACCAAGAUGUGAUCAAUGUGAAGUCUAUAGUGCACAAGAGCUGACACACCAAAAUGGGUUAAUUAACAAAGGAAGACUACAAGCUUAUGCAAAUGGCGAAAACUUACACUCGCUGCCCAAAGUAUCUCCAUGAUGUUUUCUUCAACUUCCCGCGAACAUCUGACAAGACAGAUUCUUGUGCAUAGUGCCACCAUCGUAACUGCCAACCAUUAUGCUUUCUAGCUAAGGAAUGGCCCCAUGGACGGUAACGUCCAUACCUGCAUCAUGAAGUGACAAAUCGAAUUAAGCAUUCCUUUGAGCUUUAGAUACCACCAACAUAGACAGUGCAAUUUCAAUUAAAAUAAAAUCUUUGACCUAGAAACAAAGAAAUUAAAUAUAGGCAAUCAAUCAGUCUAUUUGACUAAACAAUUUAAUAAGACAUUAAUCACAAAGAAAAUGUUCAAGAAUUGAAUGAGCACUUUUGUUUAUGUCUUUAGGACAAGGGAGAUUUCUGAAGUUAUGAGUAUUAUAGAGGUAUUGAACUCAUGGAGCGAAGUUUGUGCAAAAUCACAGUUCUGUUGGAUGACCUUUACACAAAAAAUCUGACAUUUUUGUUAACUUUUGAUACUUGACCUUUAUAAAAGUGCAACUGUUUAACCCCUAUGCUCGGAUGUGACUUGCACGCGUUCUAAAUUUUCAAGGGUUGUAAUAGUUAUAUUUUAUAAAAUUCGAGGUUAAAUAGAUACAAUUUGUCAGAUGUUAACAACGAAAGUCCAUCUUUCACAAAAGUGGAUUACUAAACAAAUUAUUUGAGGUAAAAGAGAAGUUCUAAUGAUUUUUUACUGAUCUAAAAAUUGAUUAUGGAUAAGUUAUAAAAGAUGUUUAUGGUGGAUUACAAAGGUAAAUUCCAUUAUAGUUACCCACAACAAAGAUCAACUGUAACAUCUAAAAAUUCAUUAUGGAUAAGUUCUAAAAGAUGUUUUAUAGUGGAUUACAAAGGUAAUUCCAUUAUAGUUGCCCACAACAAAGAUCAACUUUAACAUCUCAUAGAUGAAUUCAAGGAAAAUGAAUUUUAGGAAUUAUUUUGACCUGAUUUUUCUUCUUAAUAUUAAGAAAUUUAUGUUUCAAUUACCUUGGAAAUUUAAUUAGAUGGCAGUAUUUUGAUUAUUUAUGAAACCUAUUGUCUAGAAUUUCUUCGAGUUGGUUUAACGUUUCCUUAUUUUGGGAUUCCUAAUCCUAGUAAUUGUAGAACCCAUGUCUGUCUAGAUAUUUUGGUAGAGAUUAUUUUUGUGAUAUUGACAAUUGAUUUUGAGAAUUACUUUUCAUAAUGUUCUUCUUGGUUCUACUUCUACUUUACUUAUCUUUUGCUUUAUAAUGGAUGUUAAAUAUAUGAGAAAAGAUAUUUCCUUCCACGUGCUUUUUGUGGCUAAUCAAUGUUGACUAUGACGAAAGAUGCCACAAAAAAAGCAAGGAGCAAUGAGAAUGCUUUGCAAUAAUACAAAAAAAGGCACAUAUAACCUGUGUUACUCAGACUAGGGUAGGAGUGUCAGAAAAGGGUACAUAUCCUUGUGUCUGACUUGUCAACUUUAUAAAUUAAAAAUAGAAAAAAUUACUAUCAAGUCCCUGAAUUUUUAUGAAAUUAACUAGUUUGUCCUAUUUCAAAAUCACACAAUAAAAUCCAACUCUUUAGUCCUUCUAUUAAAAAACUAUCUGUUAUCUUCAAUUAUUUGUACUGUUUAGUUUCUAUAGUUUUAAUUAUACAUAUUUCUUGGUGCUUAUAAUUUUAAAUAUUCAUACUAUUUAGUCUCUGACCAAAGCUAAAAUAAUGAUUUUUUUGACAGAAGAACUAAAGAGUUUGAUUUUUACAAAAUAUCGAGAUAUUUAAUAAAAUUUAUAGUAAUUCUCCCUAAAAAAUAUGGAGAAAUGCAUCUAAAUUCUGACAUAGGUGUUUGGAUAUGUUAUGAUAUGUAAAAUAAAAUAGAAUAAAAUAUAUAAAAGUAUAUAUAUAGAUCAUCAAAUACAAUCAAAUACAAAAUACAACCAAAUAACUAUUUUCUAUCUAAGAAAAAAACCAUGUUUUGUCAUCCAUGCACUCCAUCUCGAGAGUAAAGAGUUUCUAUUAACUAUAACAUUCAUAUGUAGAGAUCUCUAUAACUCAAGUGUCCAAUUGCAUGAAUAAGGGUCAGACAUAUAUUCCACGUCGCAUCCCAUGCAGUGCCGACAUAGGUACAACAUGGCAAAAUGAAGGUUUGGCAUAUCAAAGCAUAUAACCAAUGAAUGUUGUUAAAUUAGGAGAAAAGGUCUAAGCACAAUAGACUAAUCCCAUUUUCGAUAUGGGUUAUACAACUAAGUUACUUUAUACAUCAAAAGACUAGUCAAUUCAACGUUGCAACCCAAUCACCCAAUUUGGGCUCAAUAGAUAACCUUAUGGGUGGCUAAAACCCAUAAAUCAAUAGUGGUUUUGAUAUCAUAUUAAACUUGGAAAAAGUGUUGAGAUGUAAGUGAUUAAGUUGUUUUACACUUUGAAAUGAUGAGUCAAUUAAAUGUUGCAACCUAAUCACUUACAUUUUACUCUUCCAUUUCAUAAACUUCCAAUGUGGGAUUCCUGGAACUCCCUCCAAGUGUAACCAUCACAUGGUCAUCACUUCACAAUUAGUAUUAACUCAAUAUAGGCUCAACUGUACAACCUUAAGGUAGUUGAAACUCACAACUCGAUCAAGGCUUUGCCACCAAGUUAAAUUUAAAGAGAGUAUUGAGCAUUACAAAUUAAUUAAUUUUUAACAUAGGCUCAUAUAUAUAUAUUAUUAGGUUGCUUUAAACAUCAAAAUGACUGGCCAAUUUAAUGUUACAACCUAAUCAUUUAUGUUUUCUCCUUUCAUUUCAUAGAUUUCUAAGGUGGGAAUCCAACAAAUGCAUUUGUAAAUAUGGACAAAGCAAAAAAUGGGGAAUUGAGGUGGCCAUAUCCCUCGCAGCCUGAUUUAACCAUUGACAUGGAAGAUUGGGCACUUGCGAGAGGCAAGGGCAAAAAAGAUGAGGUAAAUUAAUGACAUGGUUGAAUUGGUCAAGAAGUAUUUAUCAUAUUAUAUAUGUAUCCAAGGAUAUGUCUUCCUUAAUUUAAGGAUUUAAAUCUUGGUAGUUUUUCAUUAUAAAUAAGUAGCAUGUAUUAUGUUAAAAGACAGAAAUUGAGUGAAGAUGUAGCCAUUUAUGGUUUUGCAUUCCUCUAUCUUUUCUCCUUUAUUUUUUCUUCCAAAACUGAACAUGGCAUCAGAGCCAUCUAAAUUUCUGCGUCUCAUUCUUAUGCUUCACUUCAUAGUUUCAAAGUUAAUUUCGAACUUUGAAGUCCCAGCUUACUGUCCCUUUCUUCUGGCAACAUAUUCUUAGGAAUUCUUUAGGUAUUAUGUGUUUCAGCUAUCAUGUUUUUGGUGUUUCAUACGAAAGAAUUUCUUAACGUCCUAUAAAUAUUUUUAGAAUGGCUAAGUUUAUUUCUUCUCGAUCACAGUAGGCUUGGGCUUGUGUUUCAAGACAGUGAUCUCCUUUCCCCUCAAAGAUCUAGGUACUCCUCUCCUUCUUCAUACCUUCCAGAGCAUGGGUUGAAGUCCCUGCUCUUCUUCUCCAUUAGAAGUUGAGGGUUGAAGUCCCUACUCUGUUUCUUUUUCUUCCAAAAGCUAUAGCUUUGAGUCUCAAAAGCUAUCCUCCUUAGGGAUUUGAGUCCCUAAACUCUGCAUUUUCCCCCUAAAUUUCAAUUCUAAUGUUCUUUUGCCCCAGCUUUUAGCGAGGAGAAGGGAGCCUAGCCAAGUUUCCUGCUGCCUCUUGAAGGUGUUGGUAAACCUGCUUCGCUGCUGGACCACUUACAGUGCUCCAAGGAUAAUUUUUGGUCACUUUUGUACUGUGCUUUACUGUUUGUGUUACUUCUGGGUUGAUGUUUGGAUUGAACAAGAAUCUCAUCAAGGGGGAUUGUUAGAAUUGAUGAGACUCUCUGUAAAUUAAGGAAAAUAUUACUUCUUAAUAGGAAUUAUUGUUUCUUAAUUCAAGGAUGUCUUCCUUAAUUUAAGGAUUUAAAAUCUUGGUAGUUUUUCAUUAUAAAUAAGCAAUAUGUAUUAUGUAAAAAGAUAGAAAUUAAGUAAAGAUGCAGCCAUUUAUGGUUUUUCCUUCUGCUCUCUUUUCUCCUAUAUUUAUUUCUUCUGAAAAAAUGACUUAACAAUAUCUUAUGAAAAUGUUGUUGCCGCUGAAAAGAUUGGAAAUGAACCAAGUAGAGUUGAGCAGACUUGUUUGAGAUUGAAAUAGCUUAAAUCUAUUAAAAGUUAGUUUAAGAAAAUGCAACAUAGAUCUGUCAAAUGAGAAAGAGACUCGUGUCAGACCAAAAAAAAAAAUUCAAAGUUCCAAAGCAAGUGAACUCACCAGAGUAUUAGAUCUAGAUGAUACGAAUUACAAAGGUAAACAAGAUAAAAAGAUUUUUUUUUGAAGAAAAAAGUGAAAAGACAAAUAGUAA